GUGCUCGCUUCAGCAGCACAUAUACUAAAAUUGGAACGAUACAGAGAAGAUUAGUAUGGCCCCUGCGCGAGGAUGACACGCAAAUUCGUGAAGUGUUCCAUAUUUUA
This is a small nuclear RNA of Tupaia belangeri (northern tree shrew), 107 nucleotides long. The record is from Ensembl. Lineage: Eukaryota; Metazoa; Chordata; Mammalia; Scandentia; Tupaiidae.